CUUCAUGAAGCUGGAAUUGCUAGUAAUGGCAGGUCAGCAUACUGCCGUGAAUACGUUCCCGGGCCUUGUACACACCGCCCGUCACACCAUGAGAGUUGGGAAUACCCGAAGCCUGUGAGCUAACUUUACGAGGCAGCAGUCGAAGGUAGAAUCAAUGAUUGGGAUGAAGUCGUAACAAGGUAAC
RNAcentral lists this ribosomal RNA (184 nucleotides) under uncultured bacterium. RNAcentral describes it as "partial 16S ribosomal RNA". It matches the Rfam family "Bacterial small subunit ribosomal RNA", at positions 1316 to 1500 of the family's 1533-position model. The record is from RNAcentral.